RNAcentral lists this ribosomal RNA (410 nucleotides) under Verrucomicrobiota bacterium. RNAcentral describes it as "Verrucomicrobia bacterium partial 16S ribosomal RNA". It matches the Rfam family "Bacterial small subunit ribosomal RNA", at positions 355 to 776 of the family's 1533-position model. The record is from RNAcentral. Lineage: Bacteria; Pseudomonadati; Verrucomicrobiota.
UGGGGAAUCUUGCACAAUGGGCGAAAGCCUGAUGCAGCGACGCCGCGAGCGGGAUGAAGGCCUUCGGGUUGUAAACCGCUUUCAGCAGGGACGAGGCCGCAAGGUGACGGUACCUGCAGAAGAAGCCCCGGCUAACUACGUGCCAGCAGCCGCGGUAAUACGUAGGGGGCAAGCGUUAUCCGGAUUCAUUGGGCGUAAAGCGCGCGUAGGCGGUUUGUUAGGUCAGGAGUUAAAUCUGGGGGCUCAACCCCUAUCCGCUCCUGAUACCGGCAGGCUUGAGUCUGGUAGGGGAAGGCGGAAUUCCAAGUGUAGCGGUGAAAUGCGCAGAUAUUUGGAAGAACACCGGUGGCGAAGGCGGCCUUCUGGGCCACGACUGACGCUGAGGCGCGAAAGCUAGGGGAGCGAACAGG